UCCUACAGUUGACAGACAAUGGGUACCAUUAGUGUAUUAACUAUCCUUCUGCACUCUGCAUUCUGUCUUUUUUCAGGCAGUGUGUUUGGAGAUUCCGUUAAAGAGAAGGAUUCCCAGUUGUUUGCUGAAGAAGGAAUCAGUGUAGAUUUAGCUUGUUCUUACUCCACCUCUUUUUCAACUACUUACAAUCUUUAUUGGUACCGGCAGUAUACAUAUGGUGGUCCAGAAUACAUUCUAUUUAAAGCUAACCAAGGUUCCUUAAAAAAUACUGCCCCUUUUGCUGAGAAGAAAUUUCAAUCUGAAGUGAAAACAAACAGCACAACCCUGACGAUCACAAAUGUGAAGCCAGAGGAUUCUGCUACUUAUCGCUGUGCACUGCAGAGAGCACAAUGUAACAGUGACAAGGAGAACAGCUACACAAACCCUACAGGAUAAAGAAAGCAGCACAGCAUUUGGGUGAACUAUGCAUUAAAACAUGAACAGCUAUUUACUUUAGACUGCAAUUACAAAAGCUGUAUAAUUAUAUAAUUGCAGUCAAUCUACUUUUACUUAAAGGAGAACUAAAUCCUAAAAAUGAA
Non-coding RNA from Xenopus laevis (African clawed frog), 578 nucleotides. The record is from the annotation of a RefSeq genome assembly. Lineage: Eukaryota; Metazoa; Chordata; Amphibia; Anura; Pipidae.